CACGUAGGGCGCAAGCGUUGUCCGGAAUUAUUGGGCGUAAAGAGCUCGUAGGCGGUCUGUUACGUCUGCUGUGAAAACCCAGGGCUUAAUCCUGGGCUUGCAGUGGAUACGGGCAGACUAGAGGCAGGUAGGGGAGAAUGGAAUUCCCGGUGUAGCGGUGAAAUACGCAGAUAUCGGGAGGAACACCGGUGGCGAAGGCGGUUCUCUGGGCCUGACCUGACGCUGAGGAGCGAAAGCGUGGGGAGCGAACAGG
This 253-nucleotide ribosomal RNA is filed under the name uncultured bacterium. RNAcentral describes it as "partial 16S ribosomal RNA". It matches the Rfam family "Bacterial small subunit ribosomal RNA", at positions 524 to 776 of the family's 1533-position model. The record is from RNAcentral.